This 2777-nucleotide long non-coding RNA is filed under the name Callithrix jacchus (white-tufted-ear marmoset). RNAcentral's name for it is "lncRNA (ENSCJAG00000081995.1)". The record is from RNAcentral. Lineage: Eukaryota; Metazoa; Chordata; Mammalia; Primates; Cebidae.
AUGUUAUGUCCCUCCAUUGUUUCUGCUCAUCACCCGAAGUCUUUCUUUUCAUUACCCCCUUGUGACUACCACCGCUCUAUACCAACAAAGAUGCCAUCCCCUAAUUGGUCACCAUCAUGGAGCUGCCCACAGGAUUUCAAGCAGAUGAGCACUGUUGCCUUGCCAGCUUGCAGAGGAAACAGAAUUUCCAAUUAUAAAUUCUAACAUUAGAUGAGCAAAACCCUGAUCCAACUCUAACAAGGAAAUUGACGGUUUUAUAACAGCAGUGUUUUAAGAGAGAAACUGCCAGCAUUUGUUGGUAUAGAUUUAGAAGGGAACUUGCUUCAGGUCUGCUGUCAAUCAAGGGCUCUUUGUGUUUUCAGAGUAGACUCUGAGAAGCGAGUUACAAAGCUGAGCUACUCCAGGAGAUAGCUGAGUACUUUUAUACUCUUCUGUGAGCAGGAAAGACAAAGCAGUGAACUGCCUUUUAUUAGGACCUAGUGCCCUAUCGUUGCAAGAGUGUACUGGAGAGUGCUUCUGAAUCACAUCUUUACUCAUUCAACAAACAUUGACUGAAUUAGGCAGAUGCAACCCAUGCCAAGCACUUGCUAGGUCUUGGAGAUGUUACAGUGAAUAACGCAUAGCUCCUUCUAUAAGGAGUUUGGAGUUUAAAAAAGAAAGUUGGACACAUAAGCAAAUACUGUUUUAAAGAUUGUGCUAUAACCCCUAAACAUUAUUAAUUAUAUUAGUAAAUAAUAUUACUAUCAUAAAUUUAUAUUAAUACACAUACUUAAAAUUAAAAUUAAAUGUUAAGUAAAUAUUUAAAUUAGUAAUUUAUAUUAAUAUUAAAAUAUUAAUUGUGAUAUAAAUAUGUAAGAUUCUUUUAGGGAUCACAAAGGGAGAAUCAAUGAUUCUCCCUGGAAGAGUCGAGGAAGGCCUAAUAAAGGAGUGAUGAUUUUGCUGAAAUUUAAGGAUUGGUAAGUUGUAUGAAAUCUAUCAUACAUGGUGUAAGGAUACAUUCCAGACCAAAGGGAUACUGUUAGGAAGGUCACGGAAGCAUGAAAUGGUUAUGGCUGGAGUGGGGGACAUGAUGGCAGGUUCUGAGGGGCUGAGAGGUAGGGGAUCAGGUAGAAGGAGUAGAUGAGGACCUCGCUAUGUAGGGCUCUGUGUAACAUGUGGAGAGUGUGAAUCUUAUCCCAAAGGACAGCAAUUCAAGGUAUCUCAGCCAAGGAAUAAUGUGCUCAAGCCUACACUGGCAUAUGUAGCGACUGAACCCAAGAGGGAAGCAGGUAGUGAAAGCAUUAAGAAGGCAACAGUAGUAAUUGGGUUAAUAGGUGAAGAGGGCAUGAACAAAGGCAUGGGAAAUAGAGAGGUUGAAGAGGGGACACUGGAACUGGCAGGAUUUAGACGUCAGUUGUAUUAAUGGAUGGAAGGAUGAGAAGACAUUGGGAUGACUUUCUAGUGCUUACCCUGUAGGUGUGGAUGGAUGGUGGUUCCACUUACUAUGAUGAAGACAUAAGAGAGGACUGGGUUUGAACAGGUCGAGCUACUGAAACUAAAGUACUUUUGAGGGCAAUGCCAUGUCUUAUGUGACAUUUGACACUCCUUACGUAAGACAAUGACUAGAAUAUAGUAACUUUCAAUAAAUAGUGAAUGAAUAGAUGAACUGACUGUAGAAAGAAGCCAUGCCUGCUUGACAUCUGGUAAACCCCUGGCCAUAAAGGCUAGACACAUAGAUCUGGAAGACUGUCGAACACUCCUGCAAGGACAAGUAGAUGAGAUAUGGGCCAAGAAUAAAACUUGAGAGAAAUACCAGAAUAAAAAGGUCAAACACAGAAAAAAGAGACAGCAAAGGAGUCUUGAAACUGACAGGUUGAAGAAUGAGAAGAGAUAGCUCUCUAUCUUCACAUCUCUCUGUGUCAAAUCUUCACACUGCGCUUUUCUAUUGAGACUUUGAAAAAGUAUGUAAUCUCAUGAAUAUCAAUUGCCUCAUCAAUAAGAUAUGAAUGAUAAUGCCUAUCUUACAGGGUUCUUUUCGGGAUUUUCCAUACAUUAAUGUGUAUGACACAUAGUCAGUCCUCAAUAAAUAUUAAUCCCAUAACUCUUUUAAAAUAUAACAAAUACAACAUCACCUUGGACCCCCUGGAUUUGAAAGUUAUGGUUCCAACUCUUUGUAAGCAUCUCAGGAUGUCCAAGACCUGCUGUUGUAUCCUGCCUUUUGGUUAAGACAUCAAUAUAAAUACAGACAUUAGGAGGUGAACAUGUGGCAAUCACCCAGCUUUCAAAUGUUAAAAAAUUUUUUGUGUUUCUGCUCCUCUGGAUAUCUUUAUUAAUUCUUGCCAAGUGCUACAAUAGAAUUUUUAAAAAUUGAGUAUUUGCAAAUAUCUGAGACUGUAUAAAGGGCCUACUAUAUAACAAACAAGAAAUAAAAUUAUAAAUGGAAACUCUAUGCUAAAUAGUACACAACAAGAGACACAGGUAAUAUGCGCUAAAAUCACUGAAAGCAAAGAAUAGUCUAUACUUAUUUAAAUCUAUUGCUAUUAUGUAGUAAUUUUCUACUGGUUAUUAUGACUUAAAUCCCAUUUGUUUCAUGGAUUCAAUUUGUUUCUGGCUGAUGCACAUCUCUUUUAGUAGUUCUUUCAUCAGAUUCAAGAAUGGUACAAACUCUUUGCUUGUCUCAAAAUGUCUUUAUUUGGUCCUCAGUUUUGAAUGAAAGAUUAAAUAAAAGAACUGGAUACUGAGUUCUUGAUAUUCACUUUCUGUCAGCCCUUGGAAGAUGUUAUCCUAUUGUCCCUGUC